UCCCUACCCAGCUAACAUUGGUCCGACGGCAACGUCGUGUCCCUGGCCAAAAAUAGUCGCGGUAGGACGGCAUAAAUCCGUAAAAAUAUGUAACACAGAACUCUGCCUAAAAAUGCAUUCAGAUACGUUUGUACAUGCAUAAAGUUCUCUGGGGUUGCAUAUAUAAUUAUUACUUUAAGUUUUAGCUCCGUGUAGUGCAAUACAUACACUGUUGUGAACCAGUUGUGAGAGGACGUCCACAAGGUGACGUCCUUUACACGUGCAUUUAUAGUCCAUCAUGACCCUGUAUGAAAUCAGUAUGAAAUAUGCAAAAGCAAUUGUGCUUACACCUUGAUUAUUACUGUAAUACUUUAUUUAAGUGCCCCAAGUAGUUUUAAGACGACCACGUCUAGUCAAGCAUUACCCAUUCAAAAUAAAUAAAGAAAUAAGUAAAUUAGUAAAUAAAAACAGGAAAUCGUAAUGAAAUAAACGUAAUUUGGUAUUUCUAUCUUGUUUAAUUAAUAUGUGCCAUAUGGUUAAGUGAUUGCAAAGCCACUGAAUUUUAGUUAUAAUUCUACCCGUUUUCCAUAAAUUUCAAUACGAUUUUAUUAUUUUAAGUUUAUGCAUAUACAUAUAAAACAGAUAUCUCUGGUCAACAUUUGAAGUCUGGGUGAAGAUUACCAAAACUGUGCUGCCAAGAUGUUGCAACAAAUCUCGCGGUGGGAUAGAUUAUCUCGCGAUAGGAUAGAUUAUCUCGCGAUGGGAUAGAUUAUCUCGCGAUAGGAUAGAUUAUCUCGCGAUGGGAUAGAUUAUCUCGCAAUACAAUACAUUAUCUCGCGAGAAAGCCUUAACGUUUUUCUUUCCAUAAACACAAGGAAAGCGCAUCGGUGUGUUGUAAGGCUUUACAAAUUAUUCUACUAAAAUCUACUGGUGGGUAAAAUUGUGUGCCCAACACAUUUAGAUGCAACGUGCCCGACCCCUGACUUGUUCAACACUAUGUUAAGUUUGGAUGUUCAAAUCACACCUGCACGUACAAACCUAUCAACAUUCACGCCUUCACCAGUAGCAACUGGGCUGUCACACUUCCAGGAGGAAAGAACAGGACAAUUUAAUCCAACCUCACUGGAUCUUCAAAGACAGAGGCAAAGGACCACAUCUCAUGAAAUGGCUACCCCCAGAUGACAAUUUACUCAAACCCUACUGGAUCUUCAAGUAAGACCGAGGCAAAGGCCCACAUCUCAUGAAACGGCUACCCCCAGAAUGGAUGCACAACAUGACACCAGUGGAGGUCGAGGUUAACAUCAACAACACUCGUGGACCCGUGGACACGUGUUGAGGCGGUCACAUAACGAACAGCCAUCUGUCAGACAGAAAAAUUCAGGAACCCUCUUCCAGGCCAUGUGCCAGAACCGAAUGAGUAUUGUCUCCAGUCCCAAAUUCAUCAUUGCCAUCCCAGUCCCAGACGACCCCCCAGUCUGCAUUGUGGAGAGAGCACAGAAGUGAGGGUGGCACCAGACCCUCACGGAGCGCUUACCCUAUGUCAACUGCAAUCUUGCUCUUCAGUUUUUGCAGCCCUAUAUUCACCGAAAUCAGCAGGCAAUGAAGACUGGUUUAGGUUCUAAAAAAACAGUCAAGCCUAAUGCCCUGCGUAAACACAAAAUGUGACAGCAAGUGUCAUGUUCACUUUUGGAGUUUAAGUAGUCUUGUUUGAAGGGUGUGUGUAUAUAUUAAUGUGCUGAUUUUUCUUUCAGGAUUCCAAAGGAAGGUCUUUUUUCAUGCUGUUUGGUUUAAAAGAUGAACUUGAGCGAAUAUCUGCCAUUCUGGACCCUGGCAAGUCUACAUCAUCUUUUAAAAGACUGGAUUAAGAGAGUGACCUAAAAUCCUUUGAAGAAUACAUCAAAGAUGAUGAAAAGAAGUGGAUCUGUGUUCAGCAACUGUCCAGAGUUGGUGGAUCUUCUGUCAGGGACUGCGUUAACCAAAUCAUGAACAGAGUCAUGUCAAAUGCCUUAAUGGCCAAAUUCAAUAUGAGGGGUGGUGGCCAACAUGACAAAAAGCCUUUCAAAGCUACAGCUUUGUACUAUGUAAUUCAAGAUAUGCUCUAAAGAGGUGGAGUUCAACUGCCACAGAUUCCGAAAUUGACACAGCAGUGGCGGAACACCUAAAACAUGCUCCAGGAUAAGCUGGGGGUGGUGGCUAUAAGAAAUGAGCUGUGCUACAGAAAUGUGCUAUAGUAAACAUUUUGAAAUAAUAGUAAAUAAAUAAAGAUUAUAAAUAUA
Long non-coding RNA from Labeo rohita (rohu), 2255 nucleotides. RefSeq lists it as uncharacterized. The record is from RefSeq and is a predicted model, not a curated record. Lineage: Eukaryota; Metazoa; Chordata; Actinopteri; Cypriniformes; Cyprinidae. The transcript has 15 exons.